Suricata suricatta (meerkat) is the source of this 664-nucleotide long non-coding RNA. RefSeq lists it as uncharacterized. NCBI's taxonomy places the organism in Eukaryota, Metazoa, Chordata, Mammalia, Carnivora, Herpestidae. The transcript is spliced from 4 exons. The record is from RefSeq and is a predicted model, not a curated record.
UUCAAAGCAAGUCCUUUCAUUGCCAGUUCACUCGAUUACAUGUAGCCCGUGUGCACAGGUGUUUACGGCCCUCUGUCCACGCGCCCGGCGAUGAGGGGGUGCAAGGACACGGGCAGGAUUUAUUGAGUGCUGCUUGUGUCCCCACCACUAUGUACAUAGCCAUCUUCUUGCUUUACCUUCAAACGCAGUGUCUCAUGUGCGUCUUACAGCAGUGCUAUGAAGUGAGCAGUAUUAUUUCCCCACCAUAGAGCUAAUGCAGUGAGGCACUGAGAGAUAUGGAAGACCAGUGUAUCCUACUGGGCACAGAUGAAAAAACACCCCGACUCCAGCUCUACAGUGAAGCCAUAGUCUCAGUCCGUGACCUUUAUAGCAGCUGAUAGUUUUCUGUACGUGCAAGCAUAGGAGGUGCUGGCCAGGUGGAAGGCAUUUCCAGUGGUGAGCUGAACCACGGUGUUCAGAUACCAGACAAAACAGCGGAUACUUUCCAGAAGUGUCAUGUAGCUGACGUAUGGGAAGCAUGACAAGAAAUCUGGACUCUCCACUUCCAUAGUGAAGUGCCUGUCCUUGAAUCUCCACCUACGGAAGUGGUAAAGGUUGUCAUGAUCCAGGAGAAAUGGUUUAUCCUGGAAAUAUGACUUUUUCUCUCCUCAUGUAUAAAACGUAG